RNAcentral lists this ribosomal RNA (478 nucleotides) under uncultured bacterium. RNAcentral's name for it is "partial 16S ribosomal RNA". It matches the Rfam family "Bacterial small subunit ribosomal RNA", at positions 28 to 523 of the family's 1533-position model. The record is from RNAcentral.
GACGAACGCUGGCGGCGUGCUUAACACAUGCAAGUCGAACGGUAAGGCCCUUCGGGGUACACGAGUGGCGAACGGGUGAGUAACACGUGGGUGAUCUGCCCUGCACUUCGGGAUAAGCCUGGGAAACUGGGUCUAAUACCGGAUAGGACCACUGCCUGCAUGGGUGGUGGUGGAAAGCUUUUGCGGUGUGGGAUGGGCCCGCGGCCUAUCAGCUUGUUGGUGGGGUGAUGGCCUACCAAGGCGACGACGGGUAGCCGGCCUGAGAGGGUGACCGGCCACACUGGGACUGAGAUACGGCCCAGACUCCUACGGGAGGCAGCAGUGGGGAAUAUUGCACAAUGGGCGCAAGCCUGAUGCAGCGACGCCGUGUGAGGGAUGACGGCCUUCGGGUUGUAAACCUCUUUCAGCACCGACGAAGCGCAAGUGACUGUAGGUGCAGAAGAAGGACCGGCCAACUACGUGCCAGCAGCCGCCGUAA